UACAAAUAAGUAGAUUUUCUGCAAGGCUA
This 29-nucleotide non-coding RNA is filed under the name Mus musculus (house mouse). Lineage: Eukaryota; Metazoa; Chordata; Mammalia; Rodentia; Muridae. The record is from RNAcentral.